AAACCUCCACAGUCGUCCACGGUAGCUCUUCCUCCACGCGAACACAACCACUAGAACACCUCGCCGCCUCCGCCGCCGCCGAGGACGACGGCGACGAUGUGGCGUCCGCGAGCUCGUGCUCUCCUCCUCCUCCGCUCCUCCAUUCCCAGGUCGCCACCGCCGCAUCCACCACAACAUCCCACUCGAACCCUUGCCCGAGCCCUACCUCCGCGCCUUCUCUCCCGCUUCCUCUCCUCCUCUCCGGAUCCCAUUCCCGAUGCCACUUCCUCCUCCGCGGAUCCCUUCCCCGAAGCCUCCUCCUCCCAGACCGCCGCUGCCCUAGAUGGUGCCACCGAGGCCGGGGAAGACAACUUGAGCUCGAUGUAGGAAGAUGCUGGGGAUGCCGACGACAUCUUCGCAUCCCCCGGCGGUGCUGACGCCGUAGCCGACGACGAGGAGGUCGCUCGCGUUCGCGCCGUCGUGGAGGACACUCCAGAGGACAAGUUGGCCUCCACCCUCGCCGACAUGCGAAGAACAACCCAGCGGCCAAGAGCCUCUCGAAUCUUGAGAUCCUCGUGAGCAAGGUAGCUGAUUCUGAUGAGAUUGGCAAGAUGGACGCAUACUUGCUUUGGGAUUCGGUUAAGGAAAUUGGCUCUGUGCCAGGAUCAGUGAGCACACCGUUGUUGAAUGAAAUGAUCGCAAUUUUCCCUGGCAAUGGAAUUCAACUCAAGGAAAUUUUCUUCACAUAUUUUGUGAUUUAGGAUGGCGUUCAUUAAUUGCUUAGCAUACUUAAAUGACACCGUUAAUGUUAUCUCUUGGGGCUUUUCAGUUGCACCUUCUAUCUUCAUUAAAAUUCAAAUGCAUGGCUAAAAAAUGUUGUCCAUCAGAUGACUGAUGUAGAUAACAUUUUAGCAUUUUACUGCACUUCUAUUUGUAUAUUAUGAAUACAGAUCUCUGCAUCCCGAAAAUAUUUGGUAUUGGUGCAUCGUACAAGACUUUAAUGUAUUGCCCCCAAAUAAUCUGCGCCUUGAUUCACCUAUGUCAAGAUUUUAGUUGCGCGUUGUAUUAGCCUAUUAGGUGAUUGAUCUGCCAGUGGUUGUCUGACAAUACAGUAUGUUAUAUUGUGUUGUAUAUCUGCACAAAUUGUUGCUUCCCCUGGUAGCAUUGCUCUGAAAAAUUGGCAUGAAUAUCUAUGAAAAAGAUCACUGCAUAUUGUAAUGGAUUUUAUGAAGUUCAUAUUACUGCAUUUUUUAAGCUAUACCUGUAGUUAAGCAUAGCUGCUGUUCUGAUUAUCGUUUCCUAUACGGAUCAUGGCAUUUGUGUUUUUUUUUUCAUUUUUGCAUUUCAUGUCUGGACUAAUUUAUUGAAUACUACCUAUUGGAUUCUUACUCUUACCUGCUAGAUUGCACAACAUACUGUUGCAUUCUAGUCAUCUGUCACUACACAUUGUUUAUUGAUUUUGCACAUUAUGUUCAUUUGUGCCUGACAACUUUCGGUUGUGACAUUUUUGUUUAUGAGAGAGUACUGAAACUAAAAAAAUUAGGAUGGAUCGUUUUAGUUAUCUCCUUUUGUAUUUCUGGUCUGCAGAGUUUUUUUUCCGUGAGAUCUGCCAUUUCUAAGUCCGAUAAUUGUUAAUUGGUUUUUGGUCUCCAUCGUAGCUAUGACACUAGCCCAUUUUUUUGCUGUAAUUGAUGUCAAUUUUCAGAAGAUCACGGCCUAGCCACAUGAUCCAUGCUGAUAAUUUUAAAUUCACUUUGUCACAAUCAAAUUUAGCAGAUGGCAUACCAUGCGUAUUUUGAAUUAUCAUCUGGUUAUCAGUCCUUAUCGGUACCCUAUGAAAAUGAUCUGCUGAUGUUGCUGCCAUCUGAUAUCUCUAAGUAAGCAUCCCCAGUGGUGAAACCAAGCAGUCGCAGAAAGAUGUGCUAAUGUAUUCAAUUUGCUUUGCAAAAAAAAAAGAAAGAAAGAAAACAAAUCACUGUUUGGUAUUGGUGCAUAUCGCUUCUUCUGCUCAUGUGAUGAUCAGCAUGGUGGUGAUCAGAAUAAUACAACUAACAGAAGUACCCUCGGGAUCUUCUGAAUUAUCAGCAUGGAUCCUGUGGCUAGGCCGUGAUCUUCUAAAAAGCAUCCAAUAAUCGAGGUCAGUCCGUGAUUGUUUUCUUUUUUGUGCAAAGCAAAUUGAAUACAUUAUCACAUCUUUCUGUGACUGCUUGCUUCCACAAGUGAUUUCAAAAUUGUCAGCAUGGAUCAUGUGGCUAGACCGUGAUCUUCUGAAAAGCAUCCAAUAAUCGAGGUCAAUUUCUAUGUUGAGAUUAAAAUUAUCAGCAUGGAUCAUGUGGCUAGACUAUGAUCAUCACAUGGUUAUUCUGAUUAUCAGCAUGGAUCAUCAUCAUGUGUGACUACUAUUCGGCUGACUGUGGCUGGUGGCUGGUGCUGAUUUGUUGUGAGAUAAAAAUAUUGCUGGUUGGUUAGUGGUUGGUGCUGAUUUGGUGUGAGAGAAAAAAUCUGCUAGCUGAUUGGCUAACAAGACUGCUGAAUAGAGUGUGGAUUAAACAGUGGCCGCACACGGUGAUGAUCAGAAUCUGGUCCUUGUGCCGUAUUUUUAAUGUUCUGUUUGGUACUGGUGUAUAUCGCUUAUUCUGUUCAUGUGAUUUUAGCACUAACAGAAGUAUCCUAGGGAUACAGUUGUCUUUAUGCUUUUGUUUCGCCAAGUGACGGCUGGAGGUUUGCUCGAGUUUCUUUGGUUGAGGCUGUCCCGUCCGUCCACACUAUUUUAAAAUGGGUAUGGCAUCACAAAUGGACGGUGACAAGUUGUAUCGUAUGCUCAUUUUCAAGUCCAACUUUGAACUAGUGCUCUCAUUUUUUCGACUUGUUUUGUAACAACUCGCAGUGGACCCUCAUACUGCCAGGUUGUUUCUGGUUCAGAAUAAGUAAACUAGUGAGAGGUGAUAGGUGUCUGAA
Molecule: long non-coding RNA, 2937 nt
Organism: Panicum virgatum (switchgrass)
Lineage: Eukaryota; Viridiplantae; Streptophyta; Magnoliopsida; Poales; Poaceae
Exons: 2
Source: RefSeq, a predicted model, not a curated record